GGAUGAAGGGAGCUUGCUCCUGGAUUCAGCGGCGGACGGGUGAGUAAUGCCUAGGAAUCUGCCUGGUAGUGGGGGAUAACGUCCGGAAACGGGCGCUAAUACCGCAUACGUCCUGAGGGAGAAAGUGGGGGAUCUUCGGACCUCACGCUAUCAGAUGAGCCUAGGUCGGAUUAGCUAGUUGGUGGGGUAAAGGCCUACCAAGGCGACGAUCCGUAACUGGUCUGAGAGGAUGAUCAGUCACACUGGAACUGAGACACGGUCCAGACUCCUACGGGAGGCAGCAGUGGGGAAUAUUGGACAAUGGGCGAAAGCCUGAUCCAGCCAUGCCGCGUGUGUGAAGAAGGUCUUCGGAUUGUAAAGCACUUUAAGUUGGGAGGAAGGGCAGUAAGUUAAUACCUUGCUGUUUUGACGUUACCAACAGAAUAAGCACCGGCUAACUUCGUGCCAGCAGCCGCGGUAAUACGAAGGGUGCAAGCGUUAAUCGGAAUUACUGGGCGUAAAGCGCGCGUAGGUGGUUCAGCAAGUUGGAUGUGAAAUCCCCGGGCUCAACCUGGGAACUGCAUCCAAAACUACUGAGCUAGAGUACGGUAGAGGGUGGUGGAAUUUCCUGUGUAGCGGUGAAAUGCGUAGAUAUAGGAAGGAACACCAGUGGCGAAGGCGACCACCUGGACUGAUACUGACACUGAGGUGCGAAAGCGUGGGGAGCAAACAGGAUUAGAUAUCCUGGUAGUCCACGCCGUAAACGAUGUCG
Molecule: ribosomal RNA, 751 nt
Filed under: uncultured Pseudomonadaceae bacterium
Lineage: Bacteria; Pseudomonadati; Pseudomonadota; Gammaproteobacteria; Pseudomonadales; Pseudomonadaceae
Description: SSU rRNA
Rfam family: Bacterial small subunit ribosomal RNA
Source: RNAcentral